GUUAAACAUUGAGGAGACAGAGAGGAGUCACAGUCCAGACGACCAACAGGUUAAACAUUGAGGAGACAGAGAGGAGUCACAGUCCAGACGACCAACAGGUUAAACAUUGAAGAGACAGAGAGGAGUCACAGACCAGGCGACCAACAGGUUAAAAAAGAGAGUUAAAAUAAAAAGGUUAUAGUUGUGGUGGGAGCAAUGAGUCUCUCAAUCUCUCUCUUCCCUAUCUGUCUCUCUCUCUCUUUCUUUCUAUCUCUCUCAUCCCUAUCUGUCUCUCUAUCUCUCUCUCAAUCUCUCUCUUCCCUAUCUGUCUCUCUCUCUCUCUCUCUCUUUCUAUCUCUCUCUUUCUCUCUCGCUUUCUUUCUGUCUGUCUCUCUCACUUUCUCUCACCCCCCCUCACUCUC
Molecule: long non-coding RNA, 401 nt
Filed under: Salmo salar (Atlantic salmon)
Lineage: Eukaryota; Metazoa; Chordata; Actinopteri; Salmoniformes; Salmonidae
Description: lncRNA (ENSSSAG00000098961.1)
Source: RNAcentral